RNAcentral lists this ribosomal RNA (319 nucleotides) under Bacillus sp. AGH-31. Its description in RNAcentral is "bacterial SSU rRNA". It matches the Rfam family "Bacterial small subunit ribosomal RNA", at positions 55 to 361 of the family's 1533-position model. Lineage: Bacteria; Bacillati; Bacillota; Bacilli; Caryophanales; Bacillaceae. The record is from RNAcentral.
CUGCAGUCGAGCGACUGAUUAGAAGCUUGCUUCUAUGACGUUAGCGGCGGACGGGUGAGUAACACGUUGGGCAACCUGCCUGUAAGACUGGGAUAACUCCGGGAAACCGGAGCUAAUACCGGAUAACAUUUUUUCUUGCAUAAGAGAAAAAUUGAAAGAUGGUUUCGGCUAUCACUUACAGAUGGGCCCGCGGUGCAUUAGCUAGUUGGUGAGGUAACGGCUCACCAAGGCAAACGAUGCAUAGCCGACCUGAGAGGGUGAUCGGCCACACUGGGACUGAGACACGGCCCAGACUCCUACGGGAGGCAGCAGGGGGGAC